RNAcentral lists this ribosomal RNA (253 nucleotides) under uncultured bacterium. Its description in RNAcentral is "partial 16S ribosomal RNA". It matches the Rfam family "Bacterial small subunit ribosomal RNA", at positions 524 to 776 of the family's 1533-position model. The record is from RNAcentral.
UACGUAGGGUGCAAGCGUUGUCCGGAAUUAUUGGGCGUAAAGAGCUCGUAGGCGGUCUGUUGCGUCGGCUGUGAAAACCCGGGGCUCAACCCCGGGCCUGCAGCCGAUACGGGCAGACUAGAGUUCGGCAGGGGAGACUGGAAUUCCUGGUGUAGCGGUGAAAUGCGCAGAUAUCAGGAGAAACACCGGUGGCGAAGGCGGGUCUCUGGGCCGAUACUGACGCUGAGGAGCGAAAGCGUGGGGAGCGAACAGG